This 253-nucleotide ribosomal RNA is filed under the name uncultured bacterium. Its description in RNAcentral is "partial 16S ribosomal RNA". It matches the Rfam family "Bacterial small subunit ribosomal RNA", at positions 524 to 776 of the family's 1533-position model. The record is from RNAcentral.
GACGGAGGGUGCGAACGUUGUUCGGAAUUACUGGGCGUAAAGCGCGUGUAGGCGGCAACGCAAGUCGGGCGUGAAAUCCCACGGCUCAACCGUGGAAGUGCACUCGAAACUGCGUAGCUAGAGUCCUGGAGAGGAAGGUGGAAUGCUUGGUGUAGAGGUGAAAUUCGUAGAUAUCAAGCGGAACACCGGUGGCGAAGGCGGCCUUCUGGACAGUGACUGACGCUGAGACGCGAAAGCGUGGGGAGCAAACAGG